Molecule: long non-coding RNA, 575 nt
Filed under: Vigna radiata
Lineage: Eukaryota; Viridiplantae; Streptophyta; Magnoliopsida; Fabales; Fabaceae
Description: long non-coding RNA (VRAD_LNC008193)
Source: RNAcentral
AGUUGAAACACCCAUCAGUAGGUGUUGAUACUCCCUUUUGCUUGCUAUUAGUUUCUUUUUCUUCUUUCUUCUGAAUUUCUUCAGAAAAUUAAGAACUUCAAGCCCCUGGUUUCCAUGUUUCAAUCAUAGGAACUUUAAUCUCCAAUUUCUUGAAGAUCUCCAUGAAGCUCAAAAAUUUAUUUUCCUUCCUAUGAUAUUUCUUUUUAUGAGGAAGGGGUUUUUCACAUGAUCUUUUCUUUUUAUCUCUCUUCCUCUUCUUCUCUCUCCUCUUUUCUCUCAACUUUCCUCUUUUCUCUUUUCUUCUUUUCUUCUUUAUUUUUGAAUAUUUUUUCUUUUUUUCUUUUUGCUCAACCACUACUUUUUCUCUGUCCUCAUCUUUCUCUCCCUCACUCAACCUUUCUGCUUCUUCUUCCUCUAUUUUCUCCGCUUCUAUCUCUAUCUUUUCAUCUAUCUUCUCCUCAGCAACAACCUUUUCUGUUUCUAUCUCUUCAAUCUUUUUCACUUCUUUCUCCACCUUCUCCUCAUCAACAACCUCAUCAAUUUAUGUCUCCAAAUUCCUGAAGGUAACUUCAUAU